This is a non-coding RNA of Homo sapiens (human), 343 nucleotides long. Lineage: Eukaryota; Metazoa; Chordata; Mammalia; Primates; Hominidae. The record is from the annotation of a RefSeq genome assembly.
AUGAUGAAAUCCUUGAGAGUUUUACUAGUGAUCCUGUGGCUUCAGUUGAGCUGGGUUUGGAGCCAACAGAAGGAGGUGGAGCAGAAUUCUGGACCCCUCAGUGUUCCAGAGGGAGCCAUUGCCUCUCUCAACUGCACUUACAGUGACCGAGGUUCCCAGUCCUUCUUCUGGUACAGACAAUAUUCUGGGAAAAGCCCUGAGUUGAUAAUGUUCAUAUACUCCAAUGGUGACAAAGAAGAUGGAAGGUUUACAGCACAGCUCAAUAAAGCCAGCCAGUAUGUUUCUCUGCUCAUCAGAGACUCCCAGCCCAGUGAUUCAGCCACCUACCUCUGUGCCGUGAACA